GUGGGGAAUCUUGCGCAAUGGGCGGAAGCCUGACGCAGCGACGCCGCGUGCGGGAGGAAGGCCCUCGGGUCGUAAACCGCUUUCAGCAGGGACGAGGCCGCAAGGUGACGGUACCUGCAGAAGAAGCCCCGGCUAACUACGUGCCAGCAGCCGCGGUAAUACGUAGGGGGCGAGCGUUAUCCGGAUUCAUUGGGCGUAAAGCGCUCGUAGGCGGCCUGCCAGGUCGGGAGUCAAAUGCGGGGGCCCAACCCCCGGCCGCUCCCGAUACCGGCGGGCUUGAGUUUGGUAGGGGAAGGCGGAAUUCCCGGUGUAGCGGUGGAAUGCGCAGAUAUCGGGAAGAACACCGGUGGCGAAGGCGGCCUUCUGGGCCACGACUGACGCUGAGGAGCGAAAGCUGGGGGAGCGAACAGGAUUAGAAACCCCAGUAGUCC
RNAcentral lists this ribosomal RNA (431 nucleotides) under uncultured Coriobacteriaceae bacterium. Its description in RNAcentral is "bacterial SSU rRNA". It matches the Rfam family "Bacterial small subunit ribosomal RNA", at positions 354 to 796 of the family's 1533-position model. The record is from RNAcentral. Lineage: Bacteria; Bacillati; Actinomycetota; Coriobacteriia; Coriobacteriales; Coriobacteriaceae.